Molecule: small nucleolar RNA, 107 nt
Organism: Arabidopsis lyrata subsp. lyrata
Lineage: Eukaryota; Viridiplantae; Streptophyta; Magnoliopsida; Brassicales; Brassicaceae
Rfam family: Plant small nucleolar RNA R71
About the family: R71 is a member of the C/D box family of snoRNAs containing the C (UGAUGA) and D (CUGA) box motifs. Multiple nearly identical copies of this snoRNA have been identified in Arabidopsis, and it is thought to function as a 2'-O-ribose methylation guide for 18S ribosomal RNA.
Source: Rfam
AAGCCGUGGUGGGGGCAUUCCCUGUAGGAAUCUUUGAACCGUUCCCAAGCUUCAUGGAAUGAUUUUGUACCAUGCUGCUGAAAAGAAGAGAUCUUUUUCCUCAGAAU